This 886-nucleotide ribosomal RNA is filed under the name uncultured organism. RNAcentral describes it as "bacterial SSU rRNA". It matches the Rfam family "Bacterial small subunit ribosomal RNA", at positions 13 to 884 of the family's 1533-position model. The record is from RNAcentral.
UUGAUCCUGGCUCAGAACGUACGCUGGCGGCGUGGAUUAGGCAUGCAAGUCGAGCGAGAAAGGUUCCUUCGGGGACUGAGUACAGCGGCGAACUGGUGAAUACAAGACGAGUAACGUGCCCGAAUGUGGGGGAUAACCUUGGGAAACCAGGGCUAAUACCGCAUGUCGUCUUUCUCCCGCGGGAGAAAGGAAAAAGGCACUUGUGUCGCAUUCGGAUCGGCUCGUCUCCCAUUAGCUUGUUGGUGGGGUAAUGGCCUACCAAGGCUACGAUGGGUAGCUGGCCUGAGAGGGUGGUCAGCCACACUGGGACUGAGAUACGGCCCAGACUCCUACGGGGGGCAGCAGUCUAGAAGCUUCCACAAUGGACGAAAGUCUGAUGGAGCGACGCCGCGUGUGGGAUGAAGGCCCUUGGGUUGUAAACCACUGUCAGGAGGGAAUAAAGCCCCGGUGGAGGACCUCCGGGGUUUGAAGGUACCUCCAGAGGAAGCACCGGCUAACUCCGUGCCAGCAGCCGCGGUAAUACGGAGGGUGCGAGCGUUGUUCGGAAUCAUUGGGCGUAAAGGGUGCGCAGGCGGAUUGGCAAGUCUCUUGGUUAAAUUUUCACCGCUCAACGGGAAAAACGCCGGAGAUACUGCCAGUCUUGAGAGCGGUAGGGGUGAGUGGAAUUCCUGGUGUAACGGUGGAAUGUUUAGAUAUCAGGAAGAACACCGGUGGCGAAGGCGACUCACUGGACCGCAUCUGACGCUGAGGCACGAAAGCUAGGGGAGCGAACAGGAUUAGAUACCCUGGUAGUCCUAGCCGUAAACGGUGAGCACUAGGUGUGGGGGGUUAUCGACCCCUUCCGUGCCGUAGCCAACGCAUUAAGUGCUCCGCCCUGGGAAGUACG